This 232-nucleotide ribosomal RNA is filed under the name uncultured bacterium. RNAcentral's name for it is "partial 16S ribosomal RNA". It matches the Rfam family "Bacterial small subunit ribosomal RNA", at positions 99 to 334 of the family's 1533-position model. The record is from RNAcentral.
CGAACGGGUGAGUAAUAUAUUGGAACGUACCGAGUAAUGAGGGAUAACCAAUCGAAAGAUUGGCUAAUACCGCAUACGCUCUGAGGAGGAAAGCAGGGGACCUUCGGGCCUUGCGUUAUUCGAGCGGCCAAUAUCUGAUUAGCUAGUUGGUGGGGUAAAGGCCUACCAAGGCGACGAUCAGUAGCGGGUCUGAGAGGAUGAUCCGCCACACUGGGACUGAGACACGGCCCAG